Molecule: ribosomal RNA, 460 nt
Filed under: uncultured bacterium
Lineage: Bacteria
Description: partial 16S ribosomal RNA
Rfam family: Bacterial small subunit ribosomal RNA
Source: RNAcentral
CCUACGGGCGGCAGCAGUGAGGAAUAUUGGUCAAUGGACGAAAGUCUGAACCAGCCAAGUAGCGUGAAGGAUGACUGCCCUAUGGGUUGUAAACUUCUUUUAUAUGGGAAUAAAACAGGGUAUGCAUACCCUCUUGUGUGUACCAUAUGAGUAAGGAUCGGCUAACUCCGUGCCAGCGGCCGCGGUAAUACGGAGGAUCCGAGCGUUAUCCGGAUUUAUUGGGUUUAAAGGGAGCGUAGGUGGAUUGUUAAGUCAGUUGUGAAAGUUUGCGGCUCAAACGUAAAAGUGCAGUUGAAACUGGGAGGCUUGAGUAUAGGAGAGGUGCGUGGAAUUCGUGGUGUAGCGGUGAAAUGCUUAGAUAUCACGAAGAACUCCGAUCGCGAAGGCAGUGUACUGGACUGAAACUGACACUGAUGCUCGAAAGUGCGGGUAUCAAACAGGAUUAGAUACCCGAGUAGUC